This is a long non-coding RNA of Daktulosphaira vitifoliae (grape phylloxera), 1054 nucleotides long. RefSeq lists it as uncharacterized. The transcript has 4 exons. The record is from RefSeq and is a predicted model, not a curated record. Lineage: Eukaryota; Metazoa; Arthropoda; Insecta; Hemiptera; Phylloxeridae.
GACUCAAAAAACAACAUAUGUUAUCAAAACUGCAUACGUAAAUGACAAUGAUAUCAACUGCUUGGGUUUUUUAACAAAUAUAGUAAUUUAACCCUUCAUAAUUUUUUUUCGUUAAAAGAAAGCUCUGAUUUAGCCUUAAUGUGGGAAUAGUCAAAAGAUAAUUAUAGCAAAAUCAGAAUAAAUUAAUGGUGUCUUUGAGAAGAUAGUAAAACUAAAUUUUGUUAUUUUUAGAAUAUCUAUAAAUUGAAUGACAAUUUUCUAUUAGUGGUAUCAUUUAUUUUCUUAAAUAGUUGCCAUUUUUGAUAGUUGCUUUCUUAAAACGCCCCAUUUAUUUUCAAAGCAAGCGUAAUUAGAAGGCAUGCGAUCGUUUUACUUGCAAUGUUAUGACAGUAAAAAUAUUAAACUUAUUCUUUUAUCUAAGUAUAAGUAAAAAUUUCAAAGGAUAAUGAUUUUCUACAAAUACUUCUGCAUUACAGCGAUCGACAUACUUGAAAUAAAAAUCAGAACAAUCGGGUUUUUAAUGGAUUCUCAGUUUGUAUACACAGUUACUAUCCAGAACACAUCUCUAGUUAUUAGUAAAAAGGGUGGAUUCAAAAUAGCAAGUUUUACAGAAACAAGCUUUUUCAACUUGACUUUGAAAAUGUUCUGAAAAUACUACAACCUUUAAACGUAUAUCAAAUUAAAACUUAUGUAAUAUACUAUAAAAUGAAAAAACGAAAUUUGUCCUGACACCUUGUUUUCUACGUACAAACGGCUUCCAUAGUUAAAAAAAUGCUGUUUUUUUGUGUUAAAUUUAAACUUUAAAUUGCUAUAACUUUUUGAAUAAUGUAUGUAUCAACACAACAUUUUUUUUUUCUAAAUACAUAAAAUAUAUACCUCUUUCAUUUAACAUACUUUUUAUUUAAAUUGGUCAAUUUUCCUUUAUACAGGGGGCUUUCAAAACUUGAAAAAUACUUAUAGAAAGUAGAUUUUUUUCAACUUAACUUUUGAAAAUGUUCCGGAAAUACUGCGUCCUUUAAACAUAUGUCAAAUUAAAGCUUACAAUAAAUACUAU